RNAcentral lists this ribosomal RNA (479 nucleotides) under uncultured bacterium. RNAcentral's name for it is "partial 16S ribosomal RNA". It matches the Rfam family "Bacterial small subunit ribosomal RNA", at positions 28 to 507 of the family's 1533-position model. The record is from RNAcentral.
GACGAACGCUGGCGGCGCGCUUAACACAUGCCAGUCGAGCGAUGAAAUUUCGACAGAUCCCUUCGGGGUGAAGAUGAAAUGGAUUAGCGGCGGACGGGUGAGUAACACGUGAGUAACCUGCCUUUGACAUUGGGAUAGCCUCGGGAAACUGGGAUUAAUACCAAAUGACGCUAACUGAUCACAUGAUCAAUUAGUCAAAGAAAUUCGGUCAAAGAUGGACUCGCGGCUGAUUAGCUAGUUGGUGAGGUAACGGCCCACCAAGGCGACGAUCAGUAGCCGGCCUGUGAGGGUGGUCCGCCACACUGGAACUGGGACACGGUCCAAACUCCUACGGGAGGCAGCAGUGGGGAAUAUUGCACAAUCGGGGGAACCCUGAUGCAGCGACGCCGCGUGAGCGAAGAAGGCCUUCGGGUCGUAAAGCUCUUUUAUGAGGGAAGAUAAUGACGGUACCUAAAGAAAAAGCCCCGGCUAACUACGUG